Molecule: ribosomal RNA, 1415 nt
Filed under: uncultured bacterium
Lineage: Bacteria
Description: partial 16S ribosomal RNA
Rfam family: Bacterial small subunit ribosomal RNA
Source: RNAcentral
AGAGUUUGAUCAUGGCUCAGAACGAACGCUGGCGGCAGGCUUAACACAUGCAAGUCGAACGCCCCGCAAGGGGAGUGGCAGACGGGUGAGUAACGCGUGGGAACGUACCUUUCAGUUCGGAAUAACUCAGGGAAACUUGUGCUAAUACCGGAUACGCCCGCAAGGGGAAAGAUUUAUCGCUGAAAGAUCGGCCCGCGUUGGAUUAGCUAGUUGGUGGGGUAAAGGCCUACCAAGGCGACGAUCCAUAGCUGGUCUGAGAGGAUGAUCAGCCACACUGGGACUGAGACACGGCCCAGACUCCUACGGGAGACAGCAGUGGGGAAUAUUGGACAAUGGGCGAAAGCCUGAUCCAGCCAUGCCGCGUGUGUGAUGAAGGCCCUCGGGUUGUAAACCGCUUUCAGUAGGGAAGAAAAUGACGGUACCUACAGAAGAAGCCCCGGCCAACUACGUGCCAGCAGCCGCGGUAACACGUAGGGGGCGAGCGUUGUCCGGAUUUAUUGGGCGUAAAGAGCUCGUAGGCGGUUUCGUAAGUCGGAUGUGAAAACUCCAGGCUCAACUUGGAGACGCCAUUCGAUACUGCGAUGACUAGAGUCCGGUAGGGGAGUGUGGAAUUCCUGGUGUAGCGGUGAAAUGCGCAGAUAUCAGGAGGAACACCGGCGGCGAAGGCGGCACUCUGGGCCGGUACUGACGCUGAGGAGCGAAAGCGUGGGUAGCAAACAGGAUUAGAUACCCUGGUAGUCCACGCCGUAAACGAUGAUCACUAGCUGUUGGCGAUACACCGAUCAGCGGCAAAGCAAAAGCAUUAAGUGAUCCACCUGGGGAGUACGGCCGCAAGGCUGAAACUCAAAGGAAUUGACGGGGGCCCGCACAAGCGGAGGAACAUGUGGUUUAAUUCGAUGAUACGCGAGGAACCUUACCUGGGCUUAAAUGUAGAGUGCAUUGAGAGGAAACUUUCAUUUUCUUCGGAACUCUUUACAAGGUGCUGCAUGGUUGUCGUCAGCUCGUGCCGUGAGGUGUCGGGUUAAGUCCCAUAACGAGCGCAACCCCUAUUACCAGUUACAAGUGUCUGGCGAAACUGCCGGUGUAAACCGAGAGGAAGGUGGGGAUGACGUCAAAUCAGCGUGGCUCUUACGCCUUGGGCGACACACGUGCUACAAUGGGAUGUUACAAAGGGACGCCAAGGAGUAGUCCGGAGCAAAUCCUAUAAACCAUCCCCCAGUUCGGAUUGAGGGCUGCAACUCGCCCUCAUGAAGCCGGAAUCGCUAGUAACCGUAGAUCAGCCUCGCUACGGUGAAUACGUUCUCGGGUUUUGUACACACCGCCCGUCAAGCCAUGGAAGUGGGUAGCGGAUGAAGCGUCCAUUUAUUUGGGCUCCAAUCCGAGACUCGUAACUGGGGCUAAGUCGUAACAAGGUA